GGGGACAUGGUCUAGUGGUAUGACGGAUCCUUAGCAUCUUUGAAGCCUCUCGCUUCACAGCUUGGAUCAGGUCCGGGGUUCGAUUCCCCGUGUCUCCA
RNAcentral lists this transfer RNA (98 nucleotides) under Thielaviopsis punctulata. RNAcentral's name for it is "Ceratocystis radicicola tRNA". It matches the Rfam family "tRNA". Rfam says of the family: Transfer RNA (tRNA) molecules are approximately 80 nucleotides in length. Their secondary structure includes four short double-helical elements and three loops (D, anti-codon, and T loops). Lineage: Eukaryota; Fungi; Ascomycota; Sordariomycetes; Microascales; Ceratocystidaceae. The record is from Rfam by way of RNAcentral.